Molecule: non-coding RNA, 46 nt
Organism: Schistosoma rodhaini
Lineage: Eukaryota; Metazoa; Platyhelminthes; Trematoda; Strigeidida; Schistosomatidae
Source: Rfam
AUCCAGCUGACGAGUUCAAAAAUAGGACGAAACGCGUGUCCUGAAU